AAUAGAUACCCCGGUAGUCCACGCCGUAAACGAUGAGUGCUAAGUGUUAGAGGGUUUCCGCCCUUUAGUGCUGCAGCAAACGCAUUAAGCACUCCGCCUGGGGAGUACGGCCGCAAGGCUGAAACUCAAAGGAAUUGACGGGGGCCCGCACAAGCGGUGGAGCAUGUGGUUUAAUUCGAAGCAACGCGAAGAACCUUACCAGGUCUUGACAUCUCCUGCCAAUCCUAGAGAUAGGACGUUCCCCCUUCGGGGGACAGGAUGACAGGUGGUGCAUGGUUGUCGUCAGCUCGUGUCGUGAGAUGUUGGGUUAAGUCCCGCAACGAGCGCAACCCUUGAUCUUAGUUGCCAGCAUUUAGUUGGGCACUCUAAGGUGACUGCCGGUGACAAACCGGAGGAAGGCGGGGAUGGACGUCAAAUCAUCAUGCCCCUUAUGACCUGGGCUACACACGUGCUACAAUGGAUGGUACAAAGGGCAGCAAAGCGGUGACGCCUAGCAAAUCCCAUAAAACCAUUCUCAGUUCGGAUUGUAGGCUG
This 534-nucleotide ribosomal RNA is filed under the name uncultured bacterium. RNAcentral's name for it is "bacterial SSU rRNA". It matches the Rfam family "Bacterial small subunit ribosomal RNA", at positions 777 to 1307 of the family's 1533-position model. The record is from RNAcentral.